CCAGAGCUGCAUAAAGUGUGAUCUAUUAACUUUUCAGUCUUCAUAUGUAUAUUUCAAAUUUAUUAUUUUAUUUGGUACAAGAGUAAGCUAAGUAUUCUUCUCUUCAGCAAAUGCCUCACUUGUUAAAUUACUGUUCCAAGAAAAAUCCACCCUUGAGAGUCCCUAUUCCAGCCCUCUUGACAUCUAGCUACCACCCUCAAACACAAAUAACUUCGUAUCUUAAUCAGCUGAGCAUAGUGGCUUUUAAAUCCUGUAUCUUUGAAUAAGGUUCUAGCAAUGUUUUCUGCCAACACAGUGAUUAAACAAAAACAGAGGAGAGGAUGUUUUCCAAAGCUUCCCAAGACCUGAAAUGAGCCGAGGAUGGAUGACACUGUAGGCUUGGUAGCAACAUACCCAGGUGCUCACCACUCUUACAGGCAACAUCUGGAUCUGCUGCCACACGUGCUCAGACCCCAGCUUUUGGCAGAGCUGCUGCCUGGUGUGGGAAAGGCUUAAGUUGUCAAAGCCAAGUGCUGGCUUGGAGCUGAAUGACCACCCAUUAAUUGCCUGCAUGUUUCUUCCCCUCAAGCAUAAUCACAGAAAGAGAACAAGCCGAUAAUUCCCAGCAGUGAAGAAUGUGAAUGUGAGCACACUUGGGAAAUGCACAAUUGCAUCAUAAUCCUAAUACAAACAAGAGGAAAGGAGUCACUGAACCCAGGAUGAAGACAUCUUUUCCAUCAGCCCUUGCUCUGUGAAUGCCAUGCCCAUCACAUCUUCCCUGGCCUACAGCUCACUGUUUUGGGAUUGCUAGACUGAACUCUAAGAGCAAGAGGAGCACAGUCUUUCAUCUGGGAUAACAACCAAUCAAACACUGACAAGAUAUUCCACACAUCUGAAGGCCUUUUGUCUGCGUGUGCUGUUCUUAUGCAUCGGCAUCUCGCCUCCAGCAUCCAGCUUCUGCAUAAAUUAAUUUCUGACUCUCAUCCUUUCUAGGAUACCUUUUGCUUGCUUUAUAUGUGUGAAGCAUAAACUUGAAAGAGUUAAAGAUAUUAGGAAAGCUAAGGCCUUAAUUAAAAUUAAUUUUUGUUAAAUCAAAUUAAAAAAAAAUAAUCCUUGUUAAAUUUAAUAGAGAGGCACUACUAGAAUUAGGAGCUAAUCAUUAGCCAAUAACUAAUUGUCUGUCAACCUUACGUUUGUUCAGCUGGGCUUGUAAUGAGAAACGAGGAAUCUUGUAAGGAACUUCAAGAGCAUAAGACAAUUGCAAACCAGAAACCAAUUGGAAACAUGAAACUAGGAACAUGGCCAGGGGUUCAUUUGUCACUUUGCAUUGAAAAGGUAGAAAGGUCAGAAUGUGGAAGAGCCAUAUCCCUUCCUCCCUUUUAUGACCACUCCCCAUAACGAGACCACCGACUCAUUUCAAGGAACAAACUGCGCAUGCUUAAUUGCUUUUUCUUAAUUAGCAUAGGAAGAGGGGAGUGGGUGGUAACUGGGUUAUGAAUAUGUAUUUGUAUUCAAUAUCUCGGUAAAUAAAAAGUUCGUAAUCGCCUGUAUUCGGGGCUGUGUGUAUUAAGGGGUGACCCUGCACAUCUGCUCAGCGCUGCCAAUAAACACACACUCUGUAACACCAA
Parus major (Great Tit) is the source of this 1607-nucleotide long non-coding RNA. RefSeq lists it as uncharacterized. Lineage: Eukaryota; Metazoa; Chordata; Aves; Passeriformes; Paridae. The record is from RefSeq and is a predicted model, not a curated record. The transcript has 2 exons.